This 493-nucleotide ribosomal RNA is filed under the name uncultured bacterium. RNAcentral describes it as "partial 16S ribosomal RNA". It matches the Rfam family "Bacterial small subunit ribosomal RNA", at positions 28 to 506 of the family's 1533-position model. The record is from RNAcentral.
GACGAACGCUGGCGGCGUGCUUAACACAUGCAAGUCGAACGGUGAAGCGCCUUCCUUUUUGGUGGGUGUGGAUGAGUGGCGAACGGGUGAGUAACACGUGAGUAACCUGCCCCCUUCUUCUGGAUAACCGCAUGAAAGUGUGGCUAAUACGGGAUAUUCUGGGUCUGUCGCAUGAUGGGUCUGGGAAAGAUAUUGUUUCGGUGGGGGAUGGGCUCGCGACCUAUCAGCUUGUUGGUGGGGUGAUGGCCUACCAAGGCGGUGACGGGUAGCCGGCCUGAGAGGGUGGACGGUCACACUGGGACUGAGACACGGCCCAGACUCCUACGGGAGGCAGCAGUGGGGAAUAUUGCACAAUGGGCGCAAGCCUGAUGCAGCGACGCCGCGUGAGGGAUGGAGGCCUUCGGGUUGUGAAACUCUUUCGCCAGUGAAGCAGGCCUGCCUCGUUUGUGGGUGGGUUGACGGUAGCUGGAUAAGAAGCGCCGGCUAACUACGU